GGCGGCUUACACAUGCAAGUCGUACGAUGACUCUCUAGCUUGCUAGAGAAGAUUAGUGGCGGACGGGUGAGUAACAUUUAGGAAUCUGCCUAGUAGUGGGGGAUAGCUCGGGGAAACUCGAAUUAAUACCGCAUACGACCUACGGGUGAAAGGGGGCGCAAGCUCUUGCUAUUAGAUGAGCCUAAAUCAGAUUAGCUAGUUGGUGGGGUAAAGGCCCACCAAGGCGACGAUCUGUAACUGGUCUGAGAGGAUGAUCAGUCACACCGGAACUGAGACACGGUCCGGACUCCUACGGGAGGCAGCAGUGGGGAAUAUUGGACAAUGGGGGCAACCCUGAUCCAGCCAUGCCGCGUGUGUGAAGAAGGCCUUUUGGUUGUAAAGCACUUUAAGCAGGGAGGAGAGGCUAAUGGUUAAUACCCAUUAGAUUAGACGUUACCUGCAGAAUAAGCACCGGCUAACUCUGUGCCAGCAGCCGCGGUAAUACAGAGGGUGCGAGCGUUAAUCGGAAUUACUGGGCGUAAAGCGAGUGUAGGUGGCUCAUUAAGUCACAUGUGAAAUCCCCGGGCUUAACCUGGGAACUGCAUGUGAUACUGGUGGUGCUAGAAUAUGUGAGAGGGAAGUAGAAUUCCAGGUGUAGCGGUGAAAUGCGUAGAGAUCUGGAGGAAUACCGAUGGCGAAGGCAGCUUCCUGGCAUAAUAUUGACACUGAGAUUCGAAAGCGUGGGUAGCAAACAGGAUUAGAUACCCUGGUAGUCCACGCCGUAAACGAUGUCUACUAGCCGUUGGGGUCCUUGAGACUUUAGUGGCGCAGUUAACGCGAUAAGUAGACCGCCUGGGGAGUACGGCCGCAAGGUUAAAACUCAAAUGAAUUGACGGGGGCCCGCACAAGCGGUGGAGCAUGUGGUUUAAUUCGAUGCAACGCGAAGAACCUUACCUGGUCUUGACAUAGUGAGAAUCUUUCAGAGAUGAGAGAGUGCCUUCGGGAAUUCACAUACAGGUGCUGCAUGGCUGUCGUCAGCUCGUGUCGUGAGAUGUUGGGUUAAGUCCCGCAACGAGCGCAACCCUUUUCCUUAUUUGCCAGCGGGUUAAGCCGGGAACUUUAAGGAUACUGCCAGUGACAAACUGGAGGAAGGCGGGGACGACGUCAAGUCAUCAUGGCCCUUACGACCAGGGCUACACACGUGCUACAAUGGUAGGUACAGAGGGUUGCUACACAGCGAUGUGAUGCUAAUCUCAAAAAGCCUAUCGUAGUCCGGAUUGGAGUCUGCAACUCGACUCCAUGAAGUCGGAAUCGCUAGUAAUCGCAGAUCAGAAUGCUGCGGUGAAUACGUUCCCGGGCCUUGUACACACCGCCCGUCACACCAUGGGAGUCUAUUGCACCAGAAGUAGGUAGCCUAACGUAAGAGGGCGCUUACCACGG
RNAcentral lists this ribosomal RNA (1419 nucleotides) under uncultured bacterium. RNAcentral describes it as "bacterial SSU rRNA". It matches the Rfam family "Bacterial small subunit ribosomal RNA". The record is from RNAcentral.